UACGGAGGGAGCUAGCGUUGUUCGGAAUUACUGGGCGUAAAGCGCACGUAGGCGGCUUUGUAAGUUAGAGGUGAAAGCCCGGAGCUCAACUCCGGAAUUGCCUUUAAGACUGCAUCGCUUGAAUCCGGGAGAGGUGGAGUGGAAUUCCGAGUGUAGAGGUGAAAUUCGUAGAUAUUCGGAAGAACACCAGUGGGCGAAGG
Molecule: ribosomal RNA, 200 nt
Filed under: uncultured bacterium
Lineage: Bacteria
Description: partial 16S ribosomal RNA
Rfam family: Bacterial small subunit ribosomal RNA
Source: RNAcentral